RNAcentral lists this ribosomal RNA (552 nucleotides) under uncultured bacterium. RNAcentral describes it as "bacterial SSU rRNA". It matches the Rfam family "Bacterial small subunit ribosomal RNA", at positions 338 to 906 of the family's 1533-position model. The record is from RNAcentral.
CCUACGGGAGGCAGCAGUGGGGAAUAUUGCACAAUGGGGGAAACCCUGAUGCAGCAACGCCGCGUGAGUGAUGAAGGCCUUCGGGUUGUAAAGCUCUGUCUUCAGGGACGAUAAUGACGGUACCUGAGGAGGAAGCCACGGCUAACUACGUGCCAGCAGCCGCGGUAAUACGUAGGUGGCAAGCGUUGUCCGGAUUUACUGGGCGUAAAGGGAGCGUAGGCGGAUAUUUAAGUGGGAUGUGAAAUACCUGGGCUUAACUUGGGUGCUGCAUUCCAAACUGGAUAUCUGGAGUGUUGGAGAGGAAAGUGGAAUUCCUAGUGUAGCGGUGAAAUGCGUAGAGAUUAGGAAGAACACCAGUGGCGAAGGCGACUUUCUGGACAAUAACUGACGCUGAGGCUCGAAAGCGUGGGGAGCAAACAGGAUUAGAUACCCUGGUAGUCCACGCCGUAAACGAUGGGUACUAGGUGUAGGGGGUAUCGGACUCCCCCUGUGCCGCCGUAAACACAAUAAGUACCCCGACCUGGGAGUACGGUCGCAAGAUUAAACUACAAA